Molecule: ribosomal RNA, 512 nt
Filed under: uncultured Glomus
Lineage: Eukaryota; Fungi; Glomeromycota; Glomeromycetes; Glomerales; Glomeraceae
Description: SSU rRNA
Rfam family: Eukaryotic small subunit ribosomal RNA
Source: RNAcentral
AGCAGCCGCGGUAAUUCCAGCUCCAAUAGCGUAUAUUAAAGUUGUUGCAGUUAAAAAGCUCGUAGUUGAAUUUCGGGAUCAAUACGUCGGUCGUGCUUCGGUACGUACUGGCGUAAUUGAUUUCUCCCUUCUGACGAACCAUGAUGUCAUUAACUUGGUGUCAUGGGAAAUCAGGACUGUUACUUUGAAAAAAUUAGAGUGUUUAAAGCAGGCUCACGCUUGAAUACAUUAGCAUGGAAUAAUGAAAUAGGACGUUCGAUCCUAUUUUGUUGGUUUUUAGGAUCAACGUAAUGAUUAAUAGGGAUAGUUGGGGGCAUUAGUAUUCAAUUGUCAGAGGUGAAAUUCUUGGAUUUAUUGAAGACUAACUACUGCGAAAGCAUUUGCCAAGGAUGUUUUCAUUAAUCAAGAACGAAAGUUAGGGGAUCGAAGACGAUCAGAUACCGUCGUAGUCUUAACCAUAAACUAUGCCGACUAGGGAUCGGAUGAUGUUAAUUUUUAAUGACUCAUUCGGC